RNAcentral lists this long non-coding RNA (746 nucleotides) under Betta splendens (Siamese fighting fish). RNAcentral's name for it is "lncRNA (ENSBSLG00000005538.1)". The record is from RNAcentral. Lineage: Eukaryota; Metazoa; Chordata; Actinopteri; Anabantiformes; Osphronemidae.
CGCAAUCCCAUACUUGGGCCUUUCCAGCUUCCUCAGUUUCAAACUAAGCGUAAAGAUACUGAAUCCUAGUUUCAGUUUCUCCUGUAGCGAGUUAUGGCUCAUAGAAGAGAAGAAAACAUAUUUUUGCUCAGGAGUUGAAGCAGGAAGCUUGCAGUUUUCGGACCAUUGUGGAUGUACCUCGUGUUUUGGACUGAAACACUUUACUGGAUUAUAUUCGCUGGACCCUAACGGACAGAAUGACACCAAACACGAGGUGAAUGGACGAAGUAUGGGGUUCAGACAGUCGUCAAAAGUGCCUGGCUGUUUUUUUACCUUAACAGUUGAAUCUUUUUUUUUUUCUUGGAACGAAUCCAUGUGAAAGCAGCAUCUCGGUGACAGGAGGCAAGUAAACUCAGAUCUGAUUAAACGGUGCAUAGAGCAACAUCAGCAGAGCUUUAAAACCCACAGAUAGAAUACUGAUGGAGGGUAAAAGGAAUGAAUGCACCAUUCAAUCAUAACUCCAUGAGCACCUGUCUGAUACUGGGUCGGUCUCUGUCAUAACAGUCCUGACACAUUAAGGCCUGGACUCCACUACAACCUGAAGCUGUGAGGUGGGGCCUCUGUGGAUCGGUUUAGUUUGUCCAGCUCUUUGCACAGACACUGUAACGGACUGAGAUCUGGGGAACUUGGAGUCUCAUCAUCCACAGCCAUCAGGGAACGUGUGUGAUCAGAAAGUGGACGUGUCUGCGGUAGGUGGUACGGGUCAC